AAUUACUUACCUGUGAAAAGUUAUUUUAUCUUGCUUAGAAUUGUGGUUCCUAGUUCUACCACACACACAUAGCAAAUAUGCAUAUUUAUAACAUAGAGUAAACUGUAAAGUUUACACUUUUACUAUUAAUGUUUUAAACACUACCACAAAAGUUCACGGAGAAACGCUGUUUGGUCACUUGCCGAAAAACGCAUGAGGGUGUUCAUCUUCCGUGUGCUAAAUGUUCCAUUGCCUUCAGUUACAAGUCCAACCUCAAAAAACACUUGAAAAAUGUUCAAGGAAUCGUACAACCCCAAUUCAGCAGGGAAAUAUACGGAUCACACCAGAUACAACAUAUAACUGUUCCGGAUAUUUCAGCAGGGCUGUCAUAUGUACGAGAUACCAUUGUAGACGAAUUUUUGAACCAUGUGGAUGACGAUAACUAUUACGUACAAGUUGCUGAUAUCGUCGAAGAUCUUGGAUUCUGUAAAAAGGAAGGAAUUCGUGGUGAAUUGACUCAGGUGAAUAUAAGAUAUGCAACGGCGAAUUUUGAAAAGACACCAGAUUAUGAUCCAACACAACCAAAAUCAUGGCAUAUUUAUCACAAUUGUAAGUAUAAUUUUAUAUUUAAUAUAAUAUAUUAUUUAAAUUACAGGUAACAACUCGUACGGAUUAGCAAUGUCACAUUUCAUGCCAUACGGGGGCUUUAAAUGGGUUGAACCCAAACUAGAGGGUCUAAUGAUUUGGACAAAAGAUCACCAAUCGGGUGGAUAUACGAGGUUAAUAUAUCAUAUCCAAAAGAACUUCAUGACAAGAAUAAUGACUUACCAUUCCUAUUGAAAAAUGGUAUUCCGCCUGGUUCAAAAGUUAAGAAACAUAUGGUAACACUUCUUUCAAAGAAAAAAUACGUUAUACAUUAUCGUAACCUGCAGCAAGCCAUUAAACACGGACUAGUAGUGGAAAAAGGUAACAUAUUUAUUUAAUUUAUAACAUAUUUUAUUUUAUUAUAAGUUCACAGAGUUAUCCAGUUUGAUCAGUCAGAACGUCUUAAGAAAUACAUAGAAUUAAACACUGAGAUAUGAAAAAAAGCUAGGAACCACUUUGAAAAGGACUUUUUUAAGCUUUUAAACAACGCUGUUUUCGGGAAGACCAUGGAAAGCCUUAAACGGAGAAUUAAAAUGGAACUGGUUUGUGGUGAAAAACGAUUACAGAAACGUAUAAACUGUUCAACAUUCAAACAUUGCAUUACAUAUGAUGAAACUCUCAAUUAGUAUCAUUGGCAAAUAAAAUCAUUGAUUUUUUUCAAGCCUAUUUAUAUAAUUUUAAACAGGUUUCGCAGUGUUGAAAAUGUCUUAAACCAUCAUGUACGAUUACCAUCAUAACGUUAUGCAAGCCCAUUAUGGAAAUAAAAUUGAUUUCAUGUAUUCCAAUACAUAUUCACUGGUGUACUUUAUCCAAACCAAUGAUUUUUACAAAGACCUAGAGAAUAAUUACAAUUUAAUCGUUCGAAAGGACACAUCAGAAUUACCACAAGACCAUCCGUGUUACAUUGUUGAAUGAAAGAAAAUACCAGGACUAUUUUUCGACAAAACUAGGGCAGAAAUUGUGACAGAAUUUUGUGCAGAGAUCAAUUUCAAGGAGAAGAUCAGGGUGAAAGGAAUCUAAAAGAAUGAAGUGAAAACCACAUGAACUUCAAUGAUCGUUAUCGUCAUCUUUUUGGAGAUGCAACCUUGGAUACGAAGACGGAAAAUGUCUCAAUUAAUUUAUUCAAACAUCAAUUUAAGACCAUUAAAUCAAACAAAUUAACUUAUAAUAGUUUAGAUGACAAGAGGGUUAUACUUGAGGAUAAAGUACAUACUCUGAAUCACGGUCACUACUUCACAGAGAAAGCCGAUGCACUAGAGCCAGCCGAAUUAAUACAACUUAUAGAACCCGAACUGAACAGAUAGUUUUUAUCCUAAAAUAGAUAUGGAAUUGUAAAAUAACUUUGUAGAUAUUUAAUUUUUGUAAAAUAUCUACUGGUAUAAUAUAUUUUUUUUAUUUUGUAAA
This is a long non-coding RNA of Acyrthosiphon pisum (pea aphid), 2028 nucleotides long. RefSeq lists it as uncharacterized. The transcript has 7 exons. The record is from RefSeq and is a predicted model, not a curated record. Lineage: Eukaryota; Metazoa; Arthropoda; Insecta; Hemiptera; Aphididae.